CCUACGGGACGCAGCAGUGGGGAAUAUUGCACAAUGGGGGAAACCCUGAUGCAGCGACGCCGCGUGAGUGAAGAAGUAUUUCGGUAUGUAAAGCUCUAUCAGCAGGAACGAGACAAGACGGUACCUGACUAAGAAGCCCCGGCUAACUACGUGCCAGCAGCCGCGGUAAUACGGAGGAUGCGAGCGUUAUCCGGAUUUAUUGGGUUUAAAGGGUGCGCAGGCGGAGGUGCAAGUCAGCGGUCAAAUUGCGGGGCUCAACCCCGUACUGCCGUUGAAACUGCAUCCCUUGAGUGCGCGAGAAGUAG
This 305-nucleotide ribosomal RNA is filed under the name uncultured bacterium. Its description in RNAcentral is "bacterial SSU rRNA". It matches the Rfam family "Bacterial small subunit ribosomal RNA", at positions 338 to 660 of the family's 1533-position model. The record is from RNAcentral.